GAUGAACGCUGGCGGUGUGCCUAAUACAUGCAAGUCGAGCGACCGGACGAGAAGAUUGCUUCUCUGAUGUUAGCGGCGGGCGGGUGAGUAACACGUGCAUAACCUUCCUAUAAGACUUGGGUAAUUUCGGGCGACCAGAGCUACUACCCGAUAAUAUUUUCAACCGGAUUGUUCAAUAGAGAAAGCCGGUCUUGCCGUCACAUAUAGAUGGAUCCGCGCUGCAUUAGCUAGUUGGUAAGGUAACGGCUUACCAAGGCAACGAUGCAUAGCCGGCCUGAGAGGGUGAUCGGCCACACUGGAACUGAGACACGGUCCAGACUCCUACGGGAGGCAGCAGUAGGGAAUCUUCGGCAAUGGGCGAAAGCCUGACGGAGCAACACCGCGUGAGUGAUGAAGGUCUUCGGAUUGUAAAACUCUGUUAUUAGGGAAGAACAGAUGUAUAUGUAACUGCGCACAUCUUGACGGUACCUAAAGAGAAAGCCACGGCUAACUACGUG
RNAcentral lists this ribosomal RNA (497 nucleotides) under uncultured bacterium. Its description in RNAcentral is "partial 16S ribosomal RNA". It matches the Rfam family "Bacterial small subunit ribosomal RNA", at positions 28 to 507 of the family's 1533-position model. The record is from RNAcentral.